This 377-nucleotide ribosomal RNA is filed under the name uncultured bacterium. RNAcentral's name for it is "bacterial SSU rRNA". It matches the Rfam family "Bacterial small subunit ribosomal RNA", at positions 521 to 896 of the family's 1533-position model. The record is from RNAcentral.
UAAUACGGAGGGUGCGAGCGUUGUCCGGAAUCACUGGGCGUAAAGGGCGCGUAGGCGGCGCGGGAAGUCAACGGUGAAAGCUUGGGGCUCAACCCCGAGUCGGCCGUCGAUACUCCCGUGCUCGAGCACUGUAGAGGCAGAUGGAAUUCCGGGUGUAGCGGUGGAAUGCGUAGAGAUCCGGAAGAACACCGGUGGCGAAGGCGGUCUGCUGGGCAGUUGCUGACGCUGAUGCGCGACAGCGUGGGGAGCAAACAGGAUUAGAUACCCUGGUAGUCCACGCCGUAAACGAUGGGCACUAGGUGCUUGGGGGAGCGACCCCCUGAGUGCCGGCGCUAACGCAUUAAGUGCCCCGCCUGGGGAGUACGGCCGCAAGGCUG